This is a long non-coding RNA of Sus scrofa (pig), 5942 nucleotides long. RefSeq lists it as uncharacterized. NCBI's taxonomy places the organism in Eukaryota, Metazoa, Chordata, Mammalia, Artiodactyla, Suidae. The record is from RefSeq and is a predicted model, not a curated record.
AACGCGAACUCUGGAACAUAUAUUUUCUUAAGAAAAUUCCUCUGAUGCUCUGUUUCCAGGCCACCAUGGACUAUGCUUUUUUCCUGAUGAUGCACCCCAAACAGAGAGCUGGCACACACACACACAAAAGCAGUAACACUGAUACAUGUCCACUCAAAGAAAUGAUCAUUUUUUCCCGAGUAACAAUGUGAAAGGAGAAGAAGAACGUAAGUUGAGUUUUAACACCCUUCAAUAGAAGAUACAGGCCAUAUAAUGUUUCCAUAAUAGCAAAUAUUGAGAAGUAAAUUUUCUUAAUAUUCUGUUAUGGCACAUCCAUGGAUGAGUGCACUGUCCAUGCAUUUGCAGUUGUGAAUCAUGAGAGGGCAGAGAUCAAUGUUUGAGAGAGGUAUAUUAUAAUUACCAAGGCAGGUAUGUAUAUGUAUAUUGCAACAACACUUGUUGCAAUUAAUUGCAGUAAGUGUGAAAAGAAAAAUCACUGACUCGCAGGUGAAAGAUCCUACACAGGGAGCUGCCUCCUAAGCAGAAACAAAGCCCUUUGUCAAAAGGUGGCCCUCUGAAAUUUUGAAAUGUCCCAGUCUCUGAUUCACAAGUUGGAGACUGGCCCAACUAUCUAGAUUUGGGCUCAGAUUCUCUGGAAAGCAAUCUGGCAGUACUUAGGGAUAAUGUAUGCUGGGUAGUCUCUGAAAACAGAGCCUGAGACAAAGGCUUGUCUAUAGGUAGUUCAUUUAGGAAGCAAUAACAGGGAGUAGGAAUGAGGAACUGGGGACUGAAAAAGGGAAGGAGAGAAAAGUAGUACAAGGAUGAGUUGCUGGCAACCACUUCUGGCAACUUAUAUUCAAUUCCAUAGGGAUCUCGGUAAGAGCUCUAAGAACUCUGUCUCGGAACACAAUUCCCCCAGGUUGCAGGGUGUAGGGGGGAGGAUGGAGGGGGACCAGAAGCAUUUACCCCUUGGCUCCUAUCUUCCAAAAGUCAAGGGCAGCCUUGUGGCUGUUAUUACCCCAUUUCAUUGUGCAGGAAUGAGUGCUGAGCAGAUUCCUCACAUUCCACCCUCUGCCUUAGAGAAGUCCCAGAGCAGGAAAGGAGAGGUCCUGCUGCCCCAGCACCGAGCUGGCUGCAGCCCUGUCCGUGCACUGCCGAGCUCUGGUCUCUGCAGGGAUGGCUAGGAGAGGAGGUGAGAUGAGAGGAUGCUAGUUAUAUACAAGAGGGACUGGAUAGAGACAAUCAUAUUUCAGUCCUACAGCCCACCAAUGCCUCUCCUGCACAUACAGAUCAAAGUAAUUCUGCCUCAGGUCUCUAAGGGAACAACUAUGAGGAUAUUCGCUAUGUCACUGUGGCAGGUGUCUAUUGCUAGAGGAAUGAAAAUGUAAAAUGUGGGGGAUACAUACCACAAAAUGUUAUGCUGCAGUUAGAGCAAUACAGUCAAUGUAAAUCCAGCAACAUAAAUAGGCCUUAAAGAAUUAGUGGCGAGUUUUUAAAAAUUAGAAACAGAAUGAGAUUUAUGAUACAAUAUUAUUUAUGUAAUUACUCAUUCAUACCCAAUAACACUAAAUAGAGUAUAAAGAUAUAUUUCUCUUAAGGACAUAUAUCAAGGAAGGCAUGUAUAAGAGGGUGGUGAAUGUGAAUAGGGAUUAGAGAUGAAGGUGAAAGUUAAAACAAAAAGGAGGCUUUGCAUGAACUGAUGAUAACAGUUUGCUAUAGUUGCGGAAUGUAAUUUUAAAUUAAUUCUCUCUACUUCAGCUCUGAAAAAAAGAACAAAAUAUAUGUGGGAUGUAAUAUAUAUGCCAUAACUUUCCUUCUCCCAAACCCAUAGGUAGACAUCAGCAAGCAACCAUAUUCCUUUUUUCAUCUCUCCCUAGGUACAGCUCUUAGCUCUCUCUCUCUCCAUCAACUAGAGAAUAUGCAUUAUUUGAGACAUAUUUUAAAAUCAGAGUUGGCAAAGUACUUGAUCCUUUUAGCUAAAAGUUGUAAAUAUAUUUCAAAAAUUUGAGAUGCAAGUAUGAAUUGUGAUCAAGAAUGGAAGAAAGACCCCGAAACUUAAUGGUGGAAGUCAAAAUGGAAUGUGUUAAAGAUUAAAUAAAAAUCCCUCCUUUACCCAGAAAAAGGGUCCUCUCUUUUUUCUCUCAGAGUGCCCAACUCAAGCAGAGUUGGAAAUAGUACAAGUAAGAAAGUGAACAAAACACCCUAAAUGAUCAGAAGACAGAAUCGCAGGAUGAAAUUAAAGGCCUAGAGUGAUGAGUCCUCUUAAAACAUCUGUGCUUUUGAUAAACUUUGCGCUUCCCUUAUCACUAACUAGAACUGAGGAAUAUAUUUGUGUUUUUCUUUUUUGCCUUUAGCUUCCAAGAUAUUCAGAGUUUAACUUUUGCUCAAAGACAGAUACAAAAAUGAGGCAGUUGGAGAAAGGUGUUUCGUUUAAACAAAACAAAAUAAAACAAAACAAAAAAGUAAAUGCUAUUAAGAUGAUGGACCUUGAAAUCAUUAAGCUAAGUGAAAGAAGCCAGACACAAAAGGCCACAUAUUUUAUUCUUUCAUUUAUAUGAAAUGUCCAGAAUAGGCAAAUCCAUGGAGACAGAAAGUAGAUUAACGGCUUUUUUAGGAUUGGAGAAAGGAAGGGAGAAUGAUGUGGCGGGUGGGGAGUAGGAAGACGGAGAGUGAAUAUAAAUAGGUAUGGGGUUUCUUUGGGGGGUAAUGAACACAUUCUAAAAUAAAAUAGUGGUUGGUGAUGGUUUCACAAUUCUAUGAAUAUACUUAAAGCAGCUGAAUUUCACACUUUUAAAGGGUGAGUCUUAUAGUGUGUGAAUUACAUCUCAAUAAAGCUCUGUGUGUGUGAGUGUGUGUGUGUGUGUGUGUGUGUAUCAGCAAAAGGAGUGGCAGACUGUAAUAGGCAGAUAACCAAUGUGGAAAGAAGAAUGUGCCCUGGAAAUGUGGGGAUCGAUCAACCACAUAGCAGCUGUGAGACUUUAGGUUCAACCUUACCUUGGACUUCAAUUUCUUCACCAACAUGUAAAGCCACAAAUUUGGAGUAGAGAAAUCUCAGCCCUUUCCAAAUAUGAAAUGUGUUAAAAUUAUUAGUACUUUGUAAUGCUUGCUCAUGUUCUCCAAAGGUCAAGAGUAUCUUUGAUUAUGGAAAUUAAAAUUACAUAAACAACAAAUAUAGGAGACAGAAAAAAAGCCAGAGCUGGUCACCUCAGAAAUAAAGAUCUGGGCUAGAGAUAAACAGUGAGAGUACAGGAGUAGGUGAAAUUACCGAAGGGGACUAUAUAAAAAUGAGACUAAAAAAGGUCUAAAGAUGUGCAUCCAAAAACAUUAAGGCAUUAUCAAAUGAAUUUAUUCAUUCACUCAACAAAUAUUUAUUGAGCACCUGCUAUACACCAAGCAGAGCUCUAGCAGCAGAUGGUGAAUGAAAGAGAUGUCUCUGUUCUCACUGGCUUAUAUUUUAGUCAAAGUGAGAAGACUGACAAGAAACACAUAAACAUACAUUUAGAAAUAAAAAAUACUAGGAGGAAAAUGUAACAGAGUAAUCUGACAGAAAGUGCCUUGGCAGGAGCGGAAGGUCGAUACUCUAGAUAGUGGUCAGGAAAGGCCCCUCUAGCUCUUUUGAACGAGGACUUGAUUCCAGUAUGGUUGGAUUUAUAAAGUACUGUGUACACAGGACUUAGCAAGGAUGUAGACACUGUAUAAACAAAAUUCAUCUGAAUUCUCUUCUGACUUGCAGGAAGAUCUGGAAGGAAACAAUCCAGAACUUCUUGUUCUUGUGGAGCAGCACAGAUUAGUGUUUGGAGGCAUGAAAGGUGCGGUAUCUGAGCAGAGGCCUGAGUGAAGAGGGAGACGGCUCUUUGAUGGAUCUGAAGGAGCAGCAUGUGGAAAGAGGACCUGAGGGAGAAACAGGACUGCUGUUUGUAGAACCAGAGGAAGACCAUCUGGAGUGUAGUGAGUAAGGGAAGGAAAGAUUUAAAAAACAAGUCAGAGAAGAAAGGAGUAUUUCUUACUCCCAGUGUGAUGGAAAGCUAUUGGAGGGAUCUAAGCUUCAAUUUCUUCACCUGUGUUGCGUAAUACCUGACAGGGUUGUGGUUAAGAUCCCCAGCACAAGUCAAAGGAUACAUAAAAUUAGGCCAAUCACAGGAAACUCCUGAGAGGUAGCCGGAAGCGGCACAGAUGUAGCAGGUAAGGAUUCAUGUGGUGAUGAAUUCAGAGGAACUAAUGCCAAAUAUAGCUACAGUUUGGUGGUGGGAUUAUGAACUACCAUUUAUGAUCUAAAAAAACAAGUCCAGAAAUCUAUGUAAUACAUCCUAGAAACUCUGAACUAUCAGCUCUUUGAGAGCAGAGAUCUCGUUCUGUUUGCUUUCUAUUUACUUCCCAGCAGAGUGUCUGGCACAGAGUAAAUGUUUAACGGUAUAUUGCCAUCUCGAGUCACACCAAGAAGUCAGUAUGAUUCCAAACCUACCAAUGCACAAGCUCCUAGGAAACUGCCAUCCUUUAAAGAAGUUAUAUGAUCUAAGAAAGGGCAACUACACUGGUGAAAAAAUUGGAAGCAAUAUGCUGAUUGCAAAAACAACCUUUGAGAUCAUGAAAUAUAAAGGCGUAUGAUGAAAACCUACAACAGCAUGAAAGAUCCAGAAAGAGCAACUCGGGUCUAUCUGCUAAAGCUCAGCUUAUCAGGCCUGGGGUUUGCCCUUUAAAUUUUGAAAGAUGGAAAUUUUAGAGGAGGAAAGGUAAUUUAUAUCUGGAGCCCAAUAAUCCCAGAGGUGGGAAAGGCAAAUCACCAUCCGGUGUAAUUUGGAUACCCAGGGUUUUAUGCCAUAUCAAGCUCACCAUAACGUCCAGAUGUUAAAGAUAAGGAGACAAUCAUGUGUGUAUCUACCACUGAUUCUAUGAGGAUAUUUUUCACGAGUUCUUAGUUGGAAGGUGGCAUGCCCAACUCAGAACAGCAAUUUGUAUGAGAUGGGUAUAGUAUUUCAAAAGGAGUUCAAAGUCCAGGUCCUAAAUGAGGACUUGAUUCCCCAAAAUGGUUGGAUUUAUAAAUUAUUAUGUACACAGGACUCUGCGAGGACACAGACACUUUGUAAAUAAAGUUUAUCUCACUUCUCUUCUGACUUGCAGGUAGAUUUGGAAUGAAACAAUCUAAAACUUCUUAUAAUUGGUGAUGCAGCAUGGAUUAGCGGUUAGGGGCAUGGACUAUGCACACAGAUUGCCUGUGUUUGAAUCCUUGUUUUAUUACUGACUUACUGUUUGACUUCUCUGUGCCUGAAUUUCCUCAGCUCUAAAAUUGGGAUAGUAAGGGAGAAUUUUCUGAUAUUUAAGUGACCUAAUAUUUGUCAAACACUUGGAAAGGUGUCUAGCAUAUGGUAAGCUCUUAAAGUAAACCAAAUGCUACCUAGACCACUCUCCUUGUCCAAAGCACAGGAGAUUGUUUGGAUGGAUCUAACACUGGAGUUGGUUGCUUUUCUUUUGGAUAUGGUAGGUAACAGACCAGAUGUAUGCUAAGUAGCAAACAAAGGCCUCUUUAGAAUUUAAAAUGCACAAGGAAAACUUCCGUUAACAUAAUUAGCAUUCUGAGUAGUUCACACAGCACAGGAAUUCCUGUCCUUUCCUAGAGAAGCCACAAGGACACACACACGCACACAAAGAAGGUAAUUGCAUUAGUGCUGGCUUCCCAAUGCUCAGGAAUUUCCGGACCUAUUUUGCAGCCUGCUGCUUUCAGGGAGGAGGGGCAGUCUGCUCAGAAUUCUAACACCCAGCCUGCCAACUGGGAAGAUGAAUGGAAGUUUCUCCAAAAGAAGUCACAAGACGGAAAAAACCUGGGUCCUGGAAUACCACAUUGAAGGCCAUCCACUAGGAAGUUCUUGGAAAAAAAUGUUCCACCAAAAUGAGGGAGUAAACCUCAAAAAAAGGCAUGGAUCCAACAAAUAAGAGUCAAAAGGAAUCCCUAGGAUGAUGGUGAAGGG